UUGACUUUCUUUUCCAAGCCCCAGAUCUACAUUCUUUAGCAUGAUGCAUGGUUAUAUCAAGUGUGCUAGCUGGAGGUGGUGGGAGCCCUUCUGCUUUGGUGCCUGUUCGUUGACGAACACCAACGAGGUAUGCGCCCCUUUCUCUCCCUUUGCCGUUGUGUGUAGGAGGAGCUCCUUGUUUGCAGGAUAAUCCAUGUGUUUCCUUGCUCUAUAGGUUUUCCUCCAAAAUAUAAAUAUUUGAAACUGAUAAGAGAUCAACUGUCUGUACAAAUGCCAAGCUAGG
RNAcentral lists this long non-coding RNA (283 nucleotides) under Sorghum bicolor (sorghum). RNAcentral describes it as "long non-coding RNA (SBIC_LNC015245)". The record is from RNAcentral. Lineage: Eukaryota; Viridiplantae; Streptophyta; Magnoliopsida; Poales; Poaceae.